UACGUAGGGGGCAAGCGUUGCCCGGAAUCAUUGGGCGUAAAGAGCGUGUAGGCGGCCAGAAAAGUCCGCUGUGAAAACUCGGGGCUCAACUCCGAGCCUGCGUUCGAUACUGGAUGGCUAGAGUCUGGUAGGGGGAUCUGGAAUUCCUGGUGUAGCGGUGGAAUGCGCAGAUAUCAGGAGGAACACCGGUGGCGAAGGCGGGAUCCUGGGCCAGUACUGACGCUGAGGAGCGAAAGCGUGGGGAGCAAACAGG
Molecule: ribosomal RNA, 253 nt
Filed under: uncultured bacterium
Lineage: Bacteria
Description: partial 16S ribosomal RNA
Rfam family: Bacterial small subunit ribosomal RNA
Source: RNAcentral